UUAACAAUCUUCAGCCCAACCCCACCCUGUCGACAAACUCUUUUACGGCUCUUCACUUCGUCUUCUUCGUUCUCUGAGUUUAAGCGUUACUUUGAGCCUCUCCUGAUCAGUCAAUGAUCAACCUUAAAUUCUUCUAAUUUUUUUUUUGUUCCACCUCCCCUUGAUCCUGCACCUGUAGAAAGCGUUGUAUCUAAACCUAAAUUCACUCAAAAUCAAAAACCUACUUUGAAACUACAUCCAUGUCCACGAAAUCCACCGGAAAAUCUCAGAUCCCCACUGACAAGACUCAAAUCGCUGUCUAUUUUAAUGACAUCUCACAGGACCAGCUCAGUCAGAGCUUCCAUUUUGGUAAGUCCAUUUCGGCGAGGCAAGAAACAUUGCUAUAUGUUGGACCUUUAUUGGGUUAUAGAGCUCCUCCUUAUCGAUGAACAGGUUACGGUGCGAGUGUGUGUUUUGGCAGGUCGGAGUGAAAUUGAUCCUUGGAGAUGGCCAAGGCCUGCUGUCGAGGUGUAGACGGUUUUGGUAAAAAGUUAACCAAAGUUGUGAGAUGUUUAAGCUGUUUGAUUUCUAUUGCUGUCGCACAAACCACAAAACCCAACGUGGAGUUCAUAUAAUGACGAUGAGCUCAAAUCUGCUGAACGCCUGAACGCAUCAAAAACAUUCCCGUGGGAAAAGGGGCUCAAUAUGAUGUGCCUCAUGGUCGCAUUGGAGAUCUAUAACAAGCAGCCGAGAAAGAGGUUCUGGAUGUUGGCUCAAAUGUACCCGAAGAACAAUAGGAACGAAGAUACGAGAGUCUGGAAAACUCCUCAAAUGGAAGGACUUAUCGAUAGCAAUUCUAGAAUAUCAUCAAUGAUCUAGAUCGAAGUGGAUAUGGACAGUCAAGUUCUUGCAGCCGAGGCAGUCAACUAUUGCUUGAGUUAUUUCUGCAAGUUACAUCUGAAUAUUUUUGAAUAUUGUGCUCAAGUGGAAACUCCAUUAUUCCACAGGAAAGCAUUGCUCAACAUAUAUUGCAGAUCUUGGAGCUCGACAACCUUGAAGAGGUAUAUAAUUUUAAGAUCACUUUACACUCGAAUCAAAUAUAUAAAAUAGUGCAAUCUUCCAGUUCCAUUUGGAACAAAGCAAAGCAUAGUUGCUUUAUGUGUUAAUGUCACUUUUGUGUUUAUUGUAUGUGAUGCAUAAAUGAAAAUUACAAGCGGAAGCAAAUGAUGAGGCCAAGACUUCUCCGCGCUUAUCUAUAUCACCAAACAAAACAGAUUCACCAAUGAUAUGGGACCGUGGAAUGGACGUGGAAUGAACGAAUGUUCUGAAUUUACUCUCUGGGAGGACGAACAGAGCUUGAUGUGAGCAAGACACUGGAGCUCGAGAAGUUUUUGUGGAUAUCUUAAGUUUCUGUUUUGCUAUGCCAAAGUUCAGUGUCAACUACUUAUAUCUUAGUUUCGUGCUGAUUUCCAUCAUGUUUGGAUCAGUAUUUUCAAGAUGUUGGAUUAUACCUUAGUAAGUACUAAGGAAGAAGCUGUUAGAAGGGAGGAUGUUAUGGGAAAACAUUAUCAGGUUUUUACUACUUUUCAAGUCUUUGUUCUUUAUCUCUGUAGAUUAUAAAAGCAAUCAGCCCCGCCUACGGAUUGACUGAGCAGAUGCUUCAUGAGGCCAAUGAGGAGAUAUUUACUUUUGGUUCUUAACGGCUGGGUAGCCAUAUAGAUUAAUAUAAGAUUAAACUUUAUUUUAUUCAUUCUUUUUGUACCGUGAAUUCUUUGGUGUAGAGGAAAUGGACAUCGUAAAGUGGUGCAAGCUGUGUGUUUAUUUAUUGUGGUCUAAUACUUUAGAUGUUGCUCAUACCAAAAUGGUAGUCAAUCUAUAUAUUGUUUAGAAAUUUUGAA
Molecule: long non-coding RNA, 1877 nt
Organism: Brassica napus (rape)
Lineage: Eukaryota; Viridiplantae; Streptophyta; Magnoliopsida; Brassicales; Brassicaceae
Exons: 9
Source: RefSeq, a predicted model, not a curated record